CGCGGCCUAUCAGCUUGUUGGUGAGGUUAUGGCUUACCAAGGCGACGACGGGUAGCCGGCCUGAGAGGGUGUCCGGCCACACUGGGACUGAGACACGGCCCAGACUCCUACGGGAGGCAGCAGUGGGGAAUAUUGCACAAUGGGCGCAAGCCUGAUGCAGCGACGCCGCGUGGGGGAUGACGGCCUUCGGGUUGUAAACCUCUUUCAGUACAGACGAAGCGUAAGUGACGGUAUGUACAGAAGAAGCACCGGCCAACUACGUGCCAGCAGCCGCGGUAAUACGUAGGGUGCGAGCGUUGUCCGGAAUUACUGGGCGUAAAGAGCUCGUAGGUGGUUUGUCGCGUUGUUCGUGAAAACCUGAGGCUUAACCCUGGGCGUGCGGGCGAUACGGGCAGACUGGAGUACUGCAGGGGAGACUGGAAUUCCUGGUGUAGCGGUGGAAUGCGCAGAUAUCAGGAGGAACACCGGUGGCGAAGGCGGGUCUCUGGGCAGUAACUGACGCUGAGGAGCGAAAGCGUGGGGAGCGAACAGGAUUAGAUACCCUGGUAGUCCACGCCGUAAACGGUGGGUACUAGGUGUGGGUUUCCUUCCUUGGGAUCCGUGCCGUAGCUAACGCAUUAAGUACCCCGCCUGGGGAGUACGG
RNAcentral lists this ribosomal RNA (643 nucleotides) under uncultured bacterium. RNAcentral describes it as "bacterial SSU rRNA". It matches the Rfam family "Bacterial small subunit ribosomal RNA", at positions 232 to 885 of the family's 1533-position model. The record is from RNAcentral.